GUACACGCUGUGACUAGCAUAUCAAUAAGCGGAGGAAAAGAAACUAACAAGGAUUCCCCUAGUAACGGCGAGUGAAGCGGGAAGAGCUCAAAUUUGAAAUCUUAAAGGGUUUCCCUUUACGAAUUGUAGUUUAAAGAAGUGUUUUCUGUUGAGGUUUUGGUAAAAGUUCUUUGGAAUAGGACAUCAUAGAGGGUGAGAAUCCCGUAUUUGACCUUUACUUUCAACUUUGUGAUACACUUUCAAAGAGUCGGAUUGUUUGGGAAUGCAGUCCAAAAUGGGUGGUAAAUUUCAUCUAAAGCUAAAUAUUGGCGAGAGACCGAUAGCGAACAAGUACUGUGAGGGAAAGAUGAAAAGAACUUUGAAAAGAGAGUUAAACAGUACGUGAAAUUGUCAAAAGGGAAGCGUUUGACACCAGUGUUGUUUUUCUGAAAAUCAAUUAAAGAACUGUUUAUGCUAAGCUGUUUAGACUUUAUCAGCUAAUCUGUUUAGUUUUGAGCUCUUCUUUAAUGCACUUUUCAGUUAACAAGUCAACAUCAAUUUCUUUUGCUGUAAAAAAGCUUGAGGAAGGUGGCUUGAGAUUCGUCUUAAGUGUUUAUAGCCUCUUGCCUAUGCAGUCGGAGAGAUUGAGGUCUGCAGCGUAGAUCCUUCGGGGCUAAAUGCAUUUGUGCUAAGUUAUAGCAUUUUAUAGACAACUUGUUGACUAUGAUUUGUCUUGUAGCUUACUCGCUUAUGUUAUUUUACCUACGCUUAGGAUGUUGAAGAUGUAGCACAUCAU
This 775-nucleotide ribosomal RNA is filed under the name uncultured Neocallimastigales. RNAcentral describes it as "partial large subunit ribosomal RNA". It matches the Rfam family "Eukaryotic large subunit ribosomal RNA", at positions 22 to 635 of the family's 3401-position model. Lineage: Eukaryota; Fungi; Neocallimastigomycota; Neocallimastigomycetes; Neocallimastigales. The record is from RNAcentral.